This 301-nucleotide ribosomal RNA is filed under the name uncultured bacterium. RNAcentral describes it as "partial 16S ribosomal RNA". It matches the Rfam family "Bacterial small subunit ribosomal RNA", at positions 509 to 809 of the family's 1533-position model. The record is from RNAcentral.
CAGUCGCCACGGGAAUACAGAGGGUGCGAGCGUUAAUCGGAUUUACUGGGCGUAAAGCGUGCGUAGGCGGCUUCUUAAGUCGGAUGUGAAAUCCCUGAGCUUAACUUAGGAAUUGCAUUCGAUACUGGGAAGCUAGAGUAUGGGAGAGGAUGGUAGAAUUCCAGGCGUAGCGGUGAAAUGCGUAGAGAUCUGGAGGAAUACCGAUGGCGAAGGCAGCCAUCUGGCCUAAUACUGACGCUGAGGUACGAAAGCAUGGGGAGCAAACAGGAUUAGAUACCCGGGUAGUCCCUGUCUCUUAUAA